Molecule: ribosomal RNA, 2657 nt
Filed under: Escherichia coli
Lineage: Bacteria; Pseudomonadati; Pseudomonadota; Gammaproteobacteria; Enterobacterales; Enterobacteriaceae
Description: bacterial LSU rRNA
Rfam family: Bacterial large subunit ribosomal RNA
Source: RNAcentral
ACUAUCAUUAACUGAAUCCAUAGGUUAAUGAGGCGAACCGGGGGAACUGAAACAUCUAAGUACCCCGAGGAAAAGAAAUCAACCGAGAUUCCCCCAGUAGCGGCGAGCGAACGGGGAGCAGCCCAGAGCCUGAAUCAGUGUGUGUGUUAGUGGAAGCGUCUGGAAAGGCGCGCGAUACAGGGUGACAGCCCCGUACACAAAAAUGCACAUGCUGUGAGCUCGAUGAGUAGGGCGGGACACGUGGUAUCCUGUCUGAAUAUGGGGGGACCAUCCUCCAAGGCUAAAUACUCCUGACUGACCGAUAGUGAACCAGUACCGUGAGGGAAAGGCGAAAAGAACCCCGGCGAGGGGAGUGAAAAAGAACCUGAAACCGUGUACGUACAAGCAGUGGGAGCACAGAGCAAUCUGUGUGACUGCGUACCUUUUGUAUAAUGGGUCAGCGACUUAUAUUCUGUAGCAAGGUUAACCGAAUAGGGGAGCCGAAGGGAAACCGAGUCUUAACUGGGCGUUAAGUUGCAGGGUAUAGACCCGAAACCCGGUGAUCUAGCCAUGGGCAGGUUGAAGGUUGGGUAACACUAACUGGAGGACCGAACCGACUAAUGUUGAAAAAUUAGCGGAUGACUUGUGGCUGGGGGUGAAAGGCCAAUCAAACCGGGAGAUAGCUGGUUCUCCCCGAAAGCUAUUUAGGUAGCGCCUCGUGAAUUCAUCUCCGGGGGUAGAGCACUGUUUCGGCAAGGGGGUCAUCCCGACUUACCAACCCGAUGCAAACUGCGAAUACCGGAGAAUGUUAUCACGGGAGACACACGGCGGGUGCUAACGUCCGUCGUGAAGAGGGAAACAACCCAGACCGCCAGCUAAGGUCCCAAAGUCAUGGUUAAGUGGGAAACGAUGUGGGAAGGCCCAGACAGCCAGGAUGUUGGCUUAGAAGCAGCCAUCAUUUAAAGAAAGCGUAAUAGCUCACUGGUCGAGUCGGCCUGCGCGGAAGAUGUAACGGGGCUAAACCAUGCACCGAAGCUGCGGCAGCGACGCUUAUGCGUUGUUGGGUAGGGGAGCGUUCUGUAAGCCUGUGAAGGUGUGCUGUGAGGCAUGCUGGAGGUAUCAGAAGUGCGAAUGCUGACAUAAGUAACGAUAAAGCGGGUGAAAAGCCCGCUCGCCGGAAGACCAAGGGUUCCUGUCCAACGUUAAUCGGGGCAGGGUGAGUCGACCCCUAAGGCGAGGCCGAAAGGCGUAGUCGAUGGGAAACAGGUUAAUAUUCCUGUACUUGGUGUUACUGCGAAGGGGGGACGGAGAAGGCUAUGUUGGCCGGGCGACGGUUGUCCCGGUUUAAGCGUGUAGGCUGGUUUUCCAGGCAAAUCCGGAAAAUCAAGGCUGAGGCGUGAUGACGAGGCACUACGGUGCUGAAGCAACAAAUGCCCUGCUUCCAGGAAAAGCCUCUAAGCAUCAGGUAACAUCAAAUCGUACCCCAAACCGACACAGGUGGUCAGGUAGAGAAUACCAAGGCGCUUGAGAGAACUCGGGUGAAGGAACUAGGCAAAAUGGUGCCGUAACUUCGGGAGAAGGCACGCUGAUAUGUAGGUGAAGUCCCUCGCGGAUGGAGCUGAAAUCAGUCGAAGAUACCAGCUGGCUGCAACUGUUUAUUAAAAACACAGCACUGUGCAAACACGAAAGUGGACGUAUACGGUGUGACGCCUGCCCGGUGCCGGAAGGUUAAUUGAUGGGGUCAGCGCAAGCGAAGCUCUUGAUCGAAGCCCCGGUAAACGGCGGCCGUAACUAUAACGGUCCUAAGGUAGCGAAAUUCCUUGUCGGGUAAGUUCCGACCUGCACGAAUGGCGUAAUGAUGGCCAGGCUGUCUCCACCCGAGACUCAGUGAAAUUGAACUCGCUGUGAAGAUGCAGUGUACCCGCGGCAAGACGGAAAGACCCCGUGAACCUUUACUAUAGCUUGACACUGAACAUUGAGCCUUGAUGUGUAGGAUAGGUGGGAGGCUUUGAAGUGUGGACGCCAGUCUGCAUGGAGCCGACCUUGAAAUACCACCCUUUAAUGUUUGAUGUUCUAACGUUGACCCGUAAUCCGGGUUGCGGACAGUGUCUGGUGGGUAGUUUGACUGGGGCGGUCUCCUCCUAAAGAGUAACGGAGGAGCACGAAGGUUGGCUAAUCCUGGUCGGACAUCAGGAGGUUAGUGCAAUGGCAUAAGCCAGCUUGACUGCGAGCGUGACGGCGCGAGCAGGUGCGAAAGCAGGUCAUAGUGAUCCGGUGGUUCUGAAUGGAAGGGCCAUCGCUCAACGGAUAAAAGGUACUCCGGGGAUAACAGGCUGAUACCGCCCAAGAGUUCAUAUCGACGGCGGUGUUUGGCACCUCGAUGUCGGCUCAUCACAUCCUGGGGCUGAAGUAGGUCCCAAGGGUAUGGCUGUUCGCCAUUUAAAGUGGUACGCGAGCUGGGUUUAGAACGUCGUGAGACAGUUCGGUCCCUAUCUGCCGUGGGCGCUGGAGAACUGAGGGGGGCUGCUCCUAGUACGAGAGGACCGGAGUGGACGCAUCACUGGUGUUCGGGUUGUCAUGCCAAUGGCACUGCCCGGUAGCUAAAUGCGGAAGAGAUAAGUGCUGAAAGCAUCUAAGCACGAAACUUGCCCCGAGAUGAGUUCUCCCUGACUCCUUGA